RNAcentral lists this ribosomal RNA (417 nucleotides) under uncultured bacterium. RNAcentral's name for it is "bacterial SSU rRNA". It matches the Rfam family "Bacterial small subunit ribosomal RNA", at positions 30 to 447 of the family's 1533-position model. The record is from RNAcentral.
AUUGAACGCUGGCGGCAGGCCUAACACAUGCAAGUCGAGCGGAUGAGUGGAGCUUGCUCCAUGAUUCAGCGGCGGACGGGUGGGUAAUGCCUAGGAAUCUGCCUGGUAGUGGGGGACAACGUUUCGAAAGGAACGCUAAUACCGCAUACGUCCUACGGGAGAAAGCAGGGGACCUUCGGGCCUUGCGCUAUCAGAUGAGCCUAGGUCGGAUUAGCUAGUAGGUGAGGUAAUGGCUCACCUAGGCGACGAUCCGUAACUGGUCUGAGAGGAUGAUCAGUCACACUGGAACUGAGACACGGUCCAGACUCCUACGGGAGGCAGCAGUGGGAAUAUUGGGACAAUGGGCGAAAGCCUGAUCCAGCCAUGCCGCGUGUGUGAAGAAGGUCUUCGGAUUGUAAACUGCUUUAUUACAAGAAG